GCCAGGUGUGGUGGUGCACACCUGUAGUCCCAGCUACUCAGGAGGCUGAGGUGGGAGGAUCGCUUGAGCCUGGGGAGGUUGAGGCUGCAGUGAGCCAUGAUAAUACCACUGUACUCCAGCCUGGGUGACACAGUGAGACCCUGUCUCAA
Pongo abelii (Sumatran orangutan) is the source of this 149-nucleotide unclassified non-coding RNA. It matches the Rfam family "Metazoan signal recognition particle RNA". Rfam says of the family: The signal recognition particle (SRP) is a universally conserved ribonucleoprotein. It is involved in the co-translational targeting of proteins to membranes. The eukaryotic SRP consists of a 300-nucleotide 7S RNA and six proteins: SRPs 72, 68, 54, 19, 14, and 9. The record is from Ensembl. Lineage: Eukaryota; Metazoa; Chordata; Mammalia; Primates; Hominidae.